This 253-nucleotide ribosomal RNA is filed under the name uncultured bacterium. RNAcentral describes it as "partial 16S ribosomal RNA". It matches the Rfam family "Bacterial small subunit ribosomal RNA", at positions 524 to 776 of the family's 1533-position model. The record is from RNAcentral.
UACGAAGGGGGCUAGCGUUGCUCGGAAUCACUGGGCGUAAAGGGUGCGUAGGCGGCUCUUUAAGUCCGGGGUGAAAUCCUGGAGCUCAACUCCAGAACUGCCUUUGAUACUGAAGAUCUUGAGUUCGGGAGAGGUGAGUGGAACUGCGAGUGUAGAGGUGAAAUUCGUAGAUAUUCGCAAGAACACCAGUGGCGAAGGCGGCUCGCUGGGACGCAACUGACGCUGAGACGCGAAAGCGUGGGGAGCAAACAGG